RNAcentral lists this long non-coding RNA (514 nucleotides) under Pan troglodytes (chimpanzee). RNAcentral describes it as "long non-coding RNA NONPTRT003487". The record is from RNAcentral. Lineage: Eukaryota; Metazoa; Chordata; Mammalia; Primates; Hominidae.
ACGAAAUCUUGCUCUGUUGCCCAGGCUGGAGUGCGAUGGCAUGAUCUUGGCUCACGGCAAACUCCGCCUCCCUGGUUCAAGUGAUUCUCCUGCCUCAGCCUCCCGAGUAGCCGGGAUUACAGGCAUGUGCCACCAUGCCCCGUUGGCCAGGCUGGUCUCGAACACCUUACCUCAGGUGAUCCUCCCACCUUUGGGAUUACAGCAGGCUGAGGAAUUACCAAGGAGGCAGGAGGUGGAGCAAAACACACCAAGCCUGAUGCCAAUCAUUGACAAUAUUAUGACCCUGCAUGUGAUGGAUCAGCUGACACCAUCCAGAUUGGUAAACUGGUUCGUCUGAUCUUGUGCCCUCCACCCAGGAACUGACUCAGCGCAAGAAGACAGCUUCGACUCCUUAUGAUUUCAUCCCUAACCAAUCAGCACUCCUGGCUCACUGGCUUCCCCCAACCCACCAAAUUGUCCUUAAAAACUCUGUUCUCCAAAUGCUGGGGGAGACUGAUUUGAGUAAUAAUAAAAC